Molecule: small RNA, 55 nt
Filed under: chicken gut metagenome
Description: Streptococcus sRNA SpF59 (ldcC RNA)
Rfam family: Streptococcus sRNA SpF59 (ldcC RNA)
Source: RNAcentral
UGACCACCUGAAUCUUUCGGGUCAAGGCCAUACGGACAGCCGGGUCAACUGCCGA